This 253-nucleotide ribosomal RNA is filed under the name uncultured bacterium. Its description in RNAcentral is "partial 16S ribosomal RNA". It matches the Rfam family "Bacterial small subunit ribosomal RNA", at positions 524 to 776 of the family's 1533-position model. The record is from RNAcentral.
UACGUAGGUGGCAAGCGUUGUCCGGAAUUAUUGGGCGUAAAGCGCGCGCAGGCGGUUCCUUAAGUCUGAUGUGAAAGCCCACGGCUCAACCGUGGAGGGUCAUUGGAAACUGGGGGACUUGAGUGCAGAAGAGGAGAGCGGAAUUCCACGUGUAGCGGUGAAAUUCGUAGAUAUUCGGAAGAACACCAGUGGCGAAGGCGGCUCACUGGACGCGUAUUGACGCUGAGGUACGAAAGCGUGGGGAGCAAACAGG